Molecule: ribosomal RNA, 452 nt
Filed under: uncultured organism
Description: partial 16S ribosomal RNA
Rfam family: Bacterial small subunit ribosomal RNA
Source: RNAcentral
GUACACUCCUACGGGAGGCAGCAGUGGGGAAUAUUGGACAAUGGGCGCAAGCCUGAUCCAGCCAUGCCGCGUGAGUGAUGAAGGCCCUAGGGUUGUAAAGCUCUUUCACCGGUGAAGAUAAUGACGGUAACCGGAGAAGAAGCCCCGGCUAACUUCGUGCCAGCAGCCGCGGUAAUACGAAGGGGGCUAGCGUUGUUCGGAUUUACUGGGCGUAAAGCGCACGUAGGCGGACUAUUAAGUCAGGGGUGAAAUCCCGGGGCUCAACCCCGGAACUGCCUUUGAUACUGGUAGUCUUGAGUUCGAGAGAGGUGAGUGGAAUUCCGAGUGUAGAGGUGAAAUUCGUAGAUAUUCGGAGGAACACCAGUGGCGAAGGCGGCUCACUGGCUCGAUACUGACGCUGAGGUGCGAAAGCGUGGGGAGCAAACAGGAUUAGAAACCCGAGUAGUCCCAUG